Molecule: small nuclear RNA, 107 nt
Organism: Bison bison bison
Lineage: Eukaryota; Metazoa; Chordata; Mammalia; Artiodactyla; Bovidae
Source: Ensembl
GUGUUCGCUUCGGCAGCACAUAUACUAAAAUUGGAACGAUACAGAGAACAUUAGCAUGGCCCCUGUGCAAGGAUGACACGCAAAUUCGUGAAGCAUUCCAUAUUUUU